RNAcentral lists this ribosomal RNA (432 nucleotides) under uncultured bacterium. Its description in RNAcentral is "partial 16S ribosomal RNA". It matches the Rfam family "Bacterial small subunit ribosomal RNA", at positions 29 to 506 of the family's 1533-position model. The record is from RNAcentral.
AGCGAACGCUGGCGGCAGGCCUAACACAUGCAAGUCGAACGAACUCUUCGGAGUUAGUGGCGGACGGGUGAGUAACACGUGGGAAUGUGCCUUUUGGUUCGGAAUAACUCAGGGAAACUUGUGCUAAUACCGAAUGUGCCCUUCGGGGGAAAGAUUUAUCGCCAUUAGAGCGGCCCGCGUCUGAUUAGCUAGUUGGUGAGGUAACGGCUCACCAAGGCGACGAUCAGUAGCUGGUCUGAGAGGAUGACCAGCCACACUGGGACUGAGACACGGCCCAGACCCCUACGGGAGGCAGCAGGGGGGAAUCUUGCGCAAGGGGCGAAAGCCUGACGCAGCCAGGCCGGGGGAAUGAUGAAGGUCUUAGGAUUGUAAAAUUCUUUCCCCGGGGACGAUAAUGACGGUACCCGGAAAAGAAGCCCCGGCUAACUUCGU